GGCUUGAUGAUAAUAAUUUUAAGUCGAUCUGCCCAAUGAUUAAUAUUAAAUGGCUGCAGUAUAAUUAACUGUACAAAGGUAGCAUAAUCGAUUGUUUUUUAAUUGGAAUCUGGAAUGAAAGAAUUAAUGAGAUAUAUACUGUCUCAUAUAUAUUUAAUGAAUUUAAAUUUUUAGUAAAAAUGCUUAAAUAAAUUUAUGGGACGAUAAGACCCUAUAGAAUUUUAUAUUAAUAUAUAGAUAAAUAAUUUUUAUAUAUUAAUAUUUAGUUGGGAGGAUUGGUAAAUUUAUUAAACUUUAUUUUAAAAUUUUAACUUUAAUUUGAGAAUAAAUAAUGAUCUUGUAUUAUAAAUUAUAAGAUUAAAUUACCUUAGGGAUAACAGCGUAAUAUCUUUUGAAAGAUCUUAUUGAUAAAGAUGAUUGCGACCUCGAUGUUGAAUUAAGAUAAAUUUUAAAUGAAGAAAUUUAAUAAUUAAGUCUGUUCGACUUUUAAAAUCUUACAUGAUUUGAGUUCAAAUCGACGUGAGU
This 525-nucleotide ribosomal RNA is filed under the name Bombus ardens. RNAcentral's name for it is "partial 16S ribosomal RNA". The stretch from base 373 to 525 matches the Rfam family "Bacterial large subunit ribosomal RNA", at positions 2473 to 2626 of the family's 2925-position model. Lineage: Eukaryota; Metazoa; Arthropoda; Insecta; Hymenoptera; Apidae. The record is from RNAcentral.